CCGGCGAAGCGGAGCUCCGGGGAAAGGAUUCUUCGGUCAUUGGGCAAGGAAGACAGCGCUAGGCAAGCGCGGUUUUGCCGGGCAGAAGGAUUGGUGAGGUCGAGCGCGUGUCUGGUCGUGUCAAGCGCCAGAUUGGUUGUGGCGACUCGGUAUUGGCGGACAGGAGGGAGGGAGGGGCACUGUAGGCGAGGGCGCUACAGGCAAUGUGACAGGGCGAGCAACGCGACGUGAGCAUGCAUGGACUAGCGGCUCUGCCACGGCACAGGACUGGCGAGGCGGGGGAAAAGGAGUUGUCACUGCCUGCAUGGUGGUUGGCGAAGGCAGUAUCAUUGCGGGGCGCGCGCGUGGGCAGCGCGACUGAGGUAUGGCGGAAAGGCUGCAAGGCGUUGGGGCGCACGGCCGGAGAUCCUGGCGAGGCGAUACG
Molecule: long non-coding RNA, 424 nt
Filed under: Setaria viridis
Lineage: Eukaryota; Viridiplantae; Streptophyta; Magnoliopsida; Poales; Poaceae
Description: long non-coding RNA (SVIR_LNC007712)
Source: RNAcentral